Molecule: ribosomal RNA, 391 nt
Filed under: uncultured bacterium
Lineage: Bacteria
Description: bacterial SSU rRNA
Rfam family: Bacterial small subunit ribosomal RNA
Source: RNAcentral
GACGAACGCUGGCGGCGUGCUUAACACAUGCAAGUCGAGCGGUAAGGCCCUUUCGGGGGUACACGAGCGGCGAACGGGUGAGUAACACGUGGGUGACCUGCCCUCAGCUCUGGGAUAAGCCUGGGAAACUGGGUCUAAUACUGGAUAUGACUCCACGGUGCAUGUCGUGGGGUGGAAAGCCUUGUGCGGCUGAGGAUGGGCCCGCGGCCUAUCAGCUUGUUGGUGGGGUGANGGCCUACCAAGGCGACGACGGGUAGCCGGCCUGAGAGGGCGACCGGCCACACUGGGACUGAGACACGGCCCAGACUCCUACGGGAGGCAGCAGUGGGGAAUCUUGCGCAAUGGGCGAAAGCCUGACGCAGUGACGCCGCGUGAGGGAUGACGGCCUCGG